CGGCGCACGGGUGCGUAACGCGUAUGCAACCUACCUUUUACUGGGGGAUAGCCCGGAGAAAUUCGGAUUAAUACCUCAUAGUAUCUAUUAAUGGCAUCAUUUGAUAGAUUAAAGUUUCGGCGGUAAAAGAUGGGCAUGCGUCCUAUUAGCUAGAUGGUAAGGUAACGGCUUACCAUGGCUACGAUAGGUAGGGGGCCUGAGAGGGUAGUCCCCCACACUGGUACUGAGACACGGACCAGACUCC
This 244-nucleotide ribosomal RNA is filed under the name uncultured bacterium. RNAcentral's name for it is "partial 16S ribosomal RNA". It matches the Rfam family "Bacterial small subunit ribosomal RNA", at positions 96 to 339 of the family's 1533-position model. The record is from RNAcentral.